RNAcentral lists this ribosomal RNA (502 nucleotides) under uncultured bacterium. RNAcentral describes it as "partial 16S ribosomal RNA". It matches the Rfam family "Bacterial small subunit ribosomal RNA", at positions 28 to 507 of the family's 1533-position model. The record is from RNAcentral.
GAUUAACGCUGGCGGCGUGCCUAACACAUGCAAGUCGAGCGGCAGCGAGUUUUACACUGAAUUCUGGAAGCUUCUAGUUGAAAGAGAAGAUUUAUUCAAGAAUUUUGUGUAAAAUGUCGGCGAGCGGCGGACGGCUGAGUAACGCGUGGGAACGUACCCCAAAGUGAGGGAUAACGCAUCGAAAGGUGUGCUAAUACCGCAUAUGGUCUUCGGAUUAAAGCCUUCGGGCGCUUUGGGAACGGCCUGCGUAAGAUUAGAUAGUUGGUGGGGUAAUGGCCUACCAAGUCGACGAUCUUUAACUGGUAUGAGAGGAUGAUCAGUCAGACUGGAACUGAGACACGGUCCAGACUCCUACGGGAGGCAGCAGUGAGGAAUCUUCCACAAUGGGCGAAAGCCUGAUGGAGCAACGCCGCGUGCAGGAUGAAGGCCUUCGGGUUGUAAACUGCUUUUAUAAGUGAGGAUUAUGACAGUAACUGAUGAAUAAGGAUCGGCUAACUACGUG